GACGGGGGGGUCCUAGCGUUGUUCGGAAUCAUUGGGCGUAAAGCGUGUGCAGGUGGCUCUGUAAGUCAGAUGUGAAAGCCCCGGGCUUAACUCGGGAAGUGCAUUUGAAACUACAGAACUUGAAUAUGGAAGAGGGUCGUGGAAUUCCUGGUGUAGUGGUGAAAUACGUAGAUAUCAGGAGGAACACCGGUGGCGAAGGCGGCGACCUGGUCCAAUAUUGACACUCAUACACGAAAGCGUGGGGAUCAAACAGG
This 254-nucleotide ribosomal RNA is filed under the name uncultured bacterium. RNAcentral's name for it is "partial 16S ribosomal RNA". It matches the Rfam family "Bacterial small subunit ribosomal RNA", at positions 524 to 776 of the family's 1533-position model. The record is from RNAcentral.